This 254-nucleotide ribosomal RNA is filed under the name uncultured bacterium. RNAcentral's name for it is "partial 16S ribosomal RNA". It matches the Rfam family "Bacterial small subunit ribosomal RNA", at positions 524 to 776 of the family's 1533-position model. The record is from RNAcentral.
UACGUAGGGGGCAAGCGUUGUUCGGAUUUACUGGGCGUAAAGGGCGCGUAGGCGGCGCGUAAAGUCGGACAUGAAAUCAUUAGGCUCAACCUAAUGGCUGUGUCCGAUACUUACGUGCUUGGAGUGCGGGAGAGGCAGCCGGAAUUCUCGGUGUAGCGGUGAGAUGCGUAGAUAUCGAGAGGAACACCGGUGACGGAGGUGGGUUGCUGGACCGACACUGACGCUGAGGCGCGAAAGCUAGGGGAGCAAACCGG